CACAGGUUGGGGACCACUGAUCUAAAGGAUGUCCCUGCUCUUCCACCAUACCCCAUGUUCUCCUUGGUCAGUCCUUGGGAUACAGCUGAUGCCGAAGAAAGAAUAGCAGCAAAUCUAGAGGUUUCAGUUACAGCAGAUCGCUCGCCGGAUUUACAAUGCACAGUAACAGGACAAUGGCGAGAAUUACGGGGCAUCGAUUAUUUAUAGAUCACUGCGCCGCCUCAAACUGCUUCUGCUCUAUUUAACUGCCUGGAGCCGCACACUGUUGUCAAUACGGAGGGGGAUGAAUUAAAGGGCCGCGGCGCUGGCUGCAGCAUCCACCUGGUAGAACGCACUGUCAGUGUGAAAUGAGCAAGGAGAUUUCUUGGCCGUGGAGGAGUCUUUGCUCAGCUCUUUCUGCCACAAGGCUGACGUAUGCUCUCAGAUAAUUCUGUAAGAUGGUUUUUGGAAGGUGCUGAUCACCCAGGGGCUAAACGCACACCCACUGUAAUGGAAACCAUUGAUUUGUGCCACCAGCUAAGCUGUACAGCUGAAGGAGAGGGGUGACCAUUGCUCUCCCUCCCUUCCUGCCUCUAUAAUGCCCCUGGAAUUGGAGAGACAGACAGCAAAUAAAAUUCAGUGUGAUGAAGAGGAAUGUGAGAGAGGUUGACCACAAUAAAAUGUCAGGUGUUGUAUUGGUUAGGUCUAAAAGGAGUAACGUUACUGGAGAGAAA
Molecule: long non-coding RNA, 713 nt
Organism: Hyla sarda
Lineage: Eukaryota; Metazoa; Chordata; Amphibia; Anura; Hylidae
Exons: 3
Source: RefSeq, a predicted model, not a curated record